Molecule: ribosomal RNA, 548 nt
Filed under: uncultured bacterium
Lineage: Bacteria
Description: bacterial SSU rRNA
Rfam family: Bacterial small subunit ribosomal RNA
Source: RNAcentral
GGGGAAUUUUGGACAAUGGGCGCAAGCCUGAUCCAGCCAUGCCGCGUGUCUGAAGAAGGCCUUCGGGUUGUAAAGGACUUUUGUUAGGGAAGAAAAGGCUGUUGCUAAUAUCAGCGGCUGAUGACGGUACCUGAAGAAUAAGCACCGGCUAACUACGUGCCAGCAGCCGCGGUAAUACGUAGGGUGCGAGCGUUAAUCGGAAUUACUGGGCGUAAAGCGGGCGCAGACGGUUACUUAAGCAGGAUGUGAAAUCCCCGGGCUCAACCCGGGAACUGCGUUCUGAACUGGGUGACUCGAGUGUGUCAGAGGGAGGUAGAAUUCCACGUGUAGCAGUGAAAUGCGUAGAGAUGUGGAGGAAUACCGAUGGCGAAGGCAGCCUCCUGGGACAACACUGACGUUCAUGCCCGAAAGCGUGGGUAGCAAACAGGAUUAGAUACCCUGGUAGUCCACGCCCUAAACGAUGUCAAUUAGCUGUUGGGCAACCUGAUUGCUUGGUAGCGUAGCUAACGCGUGAAAUUGACCGCCUGGGGAGUACGGUCGCAAGAUUA